GUGGGGAAUAUUGGACAAUGGGCGAAAGCCUGAUCCAGCCAUGCCGCGUGUGUGAAGAAGGUCUUCGGAUUGUAAAGCACUUUAAGUUGGGAGGAAGGGCAGUAAGUUAAUACCUUGCUGUUUUGACGUUACCGACAGAAUAAGCACCGGCUAACUUCGUGCCAGCAGCCGCGGUAAUACGAAGGGUGCAAGCGUUAAUCGGAAUUACUGGGCGUAAAGCGCGCGUAGGUGGUUCGUUAAGUUGGAAGUGAAAUCCCCGGGCUCAACCUGGGAACUGCUUUCAAAACUGCUGAGCUAGAGUACGGUAGAGGGUAGUGGAAUUUCCUGUGUAGCGGUGAAAUGCGUAGAUAUAGGAAGGAACACCAGUGGCGAAGGCGACUACCUGGACUGAUACUGACACUGAGGUGCGAAAGCGUGGGGAGCAAACAGGAUUAGAUACCCGAGUAGUCC
RNAcentral lists this ribosomal RNA (450 nucleotides) under uncultured bacterium. RNAcentral's name for it is "partial 16S ribosomal RNA". It matches the Rfam family "Bacterial small subunit ribosomal RNA", at positions 354 to 796 of the family's 1533-position model. The record is from RNAcentral.